GACGAACGCUGGCGGCGUGCCUAAUACAUGCAAGUCGAACGCUUCUUUCCUCCCGAGUGCUUGCACUCAAUUGGAAAGAGGAGUGGCGGACGGGUGAGUAACACGUGGGUAACCUACCCAUCAGAGGGGGAUAACACUUGGAAACAGGUGCUAAUACCGCAUAACAGUUUAUGCCGCAUGGCAUAAGAGUGAAAGGCGCUUUCGGGUGUCGCUGAUGGAUGGACCCGCGGUGCAUUAGCUAGUUGGUGAGGUAACGGCUCACCAAGGCCACGAUGCAUAGCCGACCUGAGAGGGUGGUCGCCCACCCUGGGGCUGGGACACGGCCCAGACUCCUGCGGGAGGCAGCAGUAGGGAAUCUUCGGCAAUGGACGAAAGUCUGACCGAGCAACGCCGCGUGAGUGAAGGAGGUGUUCGGAUCGUAAAACUCUGUUGUUAGAGAAGAACAAGGACGUUAGUAACUGAACGUCCCCUGACGGUAUCUAACCAGAAAGCCACGGCUAACUACGUG
This 508-nucleotide ribosomal RNA is filed under the name uncultured bacterium. RNAcentral's name for it is "partial 16S ribosomal RNA". It matches the Rfam family "Bacterial small subunit ribosomal RNA", at positions 28 to 507 of the family's 1533-position model. The record is from RNAcentral.